UAAAUGUAAAUAAACAUAAAGUGAAAGAUAAUUUGCUCCUUGUUGGUUAUUGAUGUAUAAAACAAAAAAAUUUUUCUAUUUUGCUGAUUGGUUUUGUUGCUGCUGAAGAAGAAGACGCGUUCGAGACCAAGGGGAGUGACGCACGAAGGAGCUGUGACAGAGAAGGAGGGCACACUGUCUCAUCACCCACGCUGCCGUUGUUUCCAUCACCGUCAUGCUUCAUGAUCACCUUUGUCUCUUUAAAACCAAAAAAAGGGAAUCAAAUAGUGCGUCUCUCUGUAGCUGCCACUAUCUUAGACAUUGAGCUACACUACAGAGACAACAGUGAAGAAAACAUGAGGACCUACACAAUGCUUAAAGAUUCAUGCAAGACAGUUGGAAGAUAGAGAAGAAAUUACUCUAGAUAUUGAAGGAGAGACAACUGGUCCUACUGAUGAAGAUGUAAACAACUUGAACAAAUUUUUGGGCGCAGUGGCAAGGAAUUCAGAUUUUUGUCCAUUAAUAUACACAAACUGGAAGGGGAUUAAAGAUAAAGAAGCUAUUUGGGAAUAUGUUCAAGUGAGAAUAUUAGUCUUGUUUUUUUUAAAAACUUA
Arachis ipaensis is the source of this 593-nucleotide non-coding RNA. Lineage: Eukaryota; Viridiplantae; Streptophyta; Magnoliopsida; Fabales; Fabaceae. The record is from RefSeq and is a predicted model, not a curated record.